Molecule: ribosomal RNA, 253 nt
Filed under: uncultured bacterium
Lineage: Bacteria
Description: partial 16S ribosomal RNA
Rfam family: Bacterial small subunit ribosomal RNA
Source: RNAcentral
UACGAACCGUCCAAACGUUAUUCGGAAUUACUGGGCUUAAAGAGUUCGUAGGCGGUUGGGAAAGUUGGGGGUGAAAGCCCUCGGCUUAACCGAGGAAUUGCGCUCAAAACUACCUGACUAGAGGAAGAUAGAGGUGAGCAGAACUGAUGGUGGAGCGGUGAAAUGCGUUGAUAUCAUCAGGAAUACCGGAGGCGAAGGCGGCUCACUGGGUCUUUUCUGACGCUGAGGAACGAAAGCUAGGGGAGCAAACGGG